Molecule: ribosomal RNA, 490 nt
Filed under: uncultured bacterium
Lineage: Bacteria
Description: partial 16S ribosomal RNA
Rfam family: Bacterial small subunit ribosomal RNA
Source: RNAcentral
GAUGAACGCUAGCUACAGGCUUAACACAUGCAAGUCGCGGGGCAGCAUGGGGGUUGCUUGCAAUCCCCGAUGGCGACCGGCGCACGGGUGAGUAACGCGUAUCCAACCUGCCCUUCACCACGGGAUAACCCGGCGAAAGUCGGACUAAUACCGUAUGUUGUCCAUUGACGGCAUCCGAUUUGGACGAAAGGCUUGGCGGUGAGGGAUGGGGAUGCGUCCGAUUAGCCAGACGGCGGGGUAACGGCCCACCGUGGCUACGAUCGGUAGGGGUUCUGAGAGGAAGGUCCCCCACACUGGAACUGAGACACGGUCCAGAAUCCUACGGGAGGCAGCAGUGAGGAAUAUUGGUCAAUGGGCGUAAGCCUGAACCAGCCAAGUAGCGUGCAGGAUGACGGCCCUAUGGGUUGUAAACUGCUUUUAUGCGGGGAUAAAGUGGCCCACGUGUGGGCUUUUGCAGGUACCGCAUGAAUAAGGACCGGCUAAUUCCGUG